UGUAGUGCUGAUAGCACGUUAAAUGCUCCAGUUCCCCAUAGAUCACUAAAGACAAGCAACGUUGCGCGUGGUUAGUAUCCGGAUGGGUGACCAUUUAGGCAAUCGCGAUCUGCUGGCU
Molecule: ribosomal RNA, 118 nt
Filed under: Diaphorina citri (Asian citrus psyllid)
Lineage: Eukaryota; Metazoa; Arthropoda; Insecta; Hemiptera; Psyllidae
Source: RNAcentral